UUCAAUGUGCCGACGUUCGGGCCCGGGGUUGUGUUUGAUGUUGAUUAUUCGGUGAGGCAGGAGCAGUUCAGGUUCUUUACGGAGGCGUUGAGGGUCACUAAGCUGAAGAGCUAUGUGGAUCAGAUGGUUGUCGAGGCAGAGGACUACUUCUCAAAAUGGGGUGAGAGUGGCACUGUGGAUUUAAAGUACGAACUGGAGCAUCUGAUCAUAUUGACAGCAAGUAGAUGCCUGCUGGGUAGAGAGGUACGGGACAAACUCUUCGAUGACGUCUCCGCUCUCUUCCAUGAUCUAGACAACGGCAUGCGCCCCAUCAGCGUCAUCUUCCCUUACCUUCCCAUCCCCUGCCACCGUCGUCGUGACCGGGCCCGAGCAAGAAUUGCCGAG
Molecule: unclassified non-coding RNA, 384 nt
Filed under: Hevea brasiliensis (rubber tree)
Lineage: Eukaryota; Viridiplantae; Streptophyta; Magnoliopsida; Malpighiales; Euphorbiaceae
Source: RNAcentral